RNAcentral lists this long non-coding RNA (5720 nucleotides) under Nicotiana benthamiana. Its description in RNAcentral is "long non-coding RNA (NBEN_LNC033796)". The record is from RNAcentral. Lineage: Eukaryota; Viridiplantae; Streptophyta; Magnoliopsida; Solanales; Solanaceae.
CCCCCAAGCCAUCAUCUUCUUCAAAAAGCAAAAUAACCAACACAACCCUAAGAGACCUAGGAUAGCCGUCACCCUUCUAACUUUAGGACUCCAUCGCUACCUUCUUCAACCUCACAAACCUUGAGAGACCAGCCAUACCCAUUUCUUCUUCUUCAUGAAUACUACAACAAAAAAACCCUAGUCACCAUAACCACUAGCAGCCGCCAGUCCACCCCCCUUCGUCGGAUCUCUCACGCCGCCGACCAGUCAUGCAGUCGCUGCCAUCGCGAAAAAAACAGCAGCCGCCAGUCCACCCCCCUUCGUCGGAUCUCUCACGCCGCCGACCAGUCAUGCAGUCGCUGCCAUCGCCAAAAAAACAACCAGACCCAUCGUCGUUGAGCAAUCACCAUCCCACGACCAUAAUUCCAGCUUCCAGUCCAUUGUCGCGCCACCCCAAACACCAACAAACGAACCACGCAUAACUAGUCAAUACAUCUUGGAACAAGCACGGCCUCCAUUUCGCUCUCUCUCUCUCUAUCUCUCUUUGUUGGAGUCAAUCAAUGCUGAUCCUUCCAAAAAUCUGUCAAGGCAACUUAAUCUCAUAUUAUUAAGAGAUGUUUACACCAUUGGUAGUCUACUAUUUCUUAAACUUCCCUGCCAUGAAAAUGCAGUCGCAAUCUCAUGAGGUUUUCAGUUCGAGGACUUACCCACGUCUUCGGUUCAGGUUCCAAUCGCUUGAGGUCUACUUUUCCCUUAUUUUGCUGAUUUGCUUCAUAUUUCACUUUCCUUUGUUUCGCUGAUUGUUGCUUCUCUAUUAUGUUUAUCAUUUGAAUUGUUAUUUUAUUAUUCUAUUUGGAUGUGCUAAAUACAAGUAUGAAUUUGUGGGUAAGAAAAAUUUACGAGUAGAACAUGAAUAUAAAUUAUAACAACCGAAAAUGGGCUGUGUGAACUAAAUUAAGUGAAGUGGAGAUUAUUUGGUUUAAUUUGCUAGAAAUGGGACGUAGGUUUGGGUUAGAAAGAAUCAAUUCACUUGGAACAUGGGUUAAUUUUUCUUUUAGUUAGUUCUCUUUUGUUUAUUUCUUUAUUUUCUAUUCUUUUUGUUAUUAUGUUACCCGCUAGUAGCAUAUUUAGGAGGCCACGCUUGGGGUAGGCAAACCUUAGAAGUUGUGUUAGCUUCGAAGCGAGAGGUCAUUUUCUUAGUUAAAUUUUUUCAGGGAAUACCCCACGUAAUUUGUAUAUAUUUUAUCCGGGGUAUGCCCCGAAGUACUUGUAUUUGGACGCCUAAAGUGGAACCCAUAGUAUUUUUAUCUUUAUUUUUCUUUUAUUAGGCGGGAACGACCUCGAGCCUCUUCUGCGUUUGUUUUUUUCUUUUCUGUGUUUGUUUCUACCUCAAUUAAAUAUUUUAAAUGCCAACUAGAUCGAGGACGCAAUUGUGACCUUCUCGGGAGUUGGGAGUGCCUAACACCUUUUCCCCGAGUCAAAUAAACCCCAUUACCCGAGUCUCUGGUGCAGAUUUAGUUUUAGAGUCCCAAGCGGUGACCUGGCAUACCAAAAUUAAAUAUAAGGUGGCAACUCUGAGUUAUUUUCUUUUGAACACUAUCUUUUGUCACUUUCAAAAUUAAAAACCCUUUUGAGCUUCACAAAAUUCUUUUUAUUUAUUUACGAGGGUUAAGUGAAGUUUAUAAAAAAGGGGUGUGACAAUCACCGUCCAGAAUAAGUAUCCAAUGCCGAGGAUUGAUGAUUUAUUUGACUAGCUUCAGGGAGCCAACGUAUUUUCAAAGAUUGAUUUUAGAUCUGGCUACCAUCAGUUAAGGAUUAGGGCAUCUUAUGCCUGUAAUAUAGCUUUUCGCACUCGCCACGGGCAUUAUGAGUUUCUGGUAAUGCCAUUUGGGUUGAUAAAUGCCCCGACAAUAUUCAUUGAUUUGAAGAACCGAGAGUUCAGGUCGUAUCUGGAUUCCUUUGUGAUUGUAUUCAUUGAUGAUAUUUUUAUUUACUCCCGCAGUCGAGAGGAGAAUUAACAGCAUCUUCGAGUCGUUCUUCAGGCUCUGAGAGACAGUCAAUUGUAUGCUAAGUUUUUGAAAUGUGAGUUUUUGUUGAGUUUAGUUACCUUCUUGGGCAACAUUGUAUUAUCAUAGGGUAUUCAGGUGGAUCCAAAGAAGAAAGAGGCUGUCAAGGACUGGCCUAGAGUCACAUCAGCUACAGAGAUCUAGAGUUUCUUUGGUUUGGCAUGUUAUUACCUACGGUUUGUGGAGUUAUUUUCAUCAAUAGAAGCCCUAUGACCAGGUUGACCCAAAAGGGUGCCACACUUAGGUGGUCGGACAAGUUUGAGGGGAGCUUUCAGAAGAUCAAGACAGCUUUGACUACGGCACCAGUUUUGGUAUUUCCCACAGGCUCAGGGGCAUAUGCAAUAUAUUGUGGCGCAUCUCGUGUUGGAGUUGGUGCGGUGUUGAUGCAGAAUGGCAAGGUUAUUGUUUAUGCUUCACGACACUUGAUGGUUCAAGAGAAGAAUAAUCCAGUUCAUGAUUUGGAGCUUGCAGCCAUUGUUCACGCAAUGAAGAUUUGGAGGCAUUAUUUGUAUGGCAUGUCAUGUGAGGUGUUCACGGAUCACGAGAGUCUAUAGUAUUUGUUCAAGCAGAAGGAGCUGAAUUUAAGGUGGAAGAGGUGGUUGGAGCUAUUGAAAGACUAUGAUGUCACCAUCUUAUAUCAUCCAGGGAAGGCCAAUGUGGUGGUCGAUGCUUUGAGUAGGAAGUCGGCUAGUAUGGGUAGCCUUGAAUAUAUCCCAGUCGGUUAGAGACCACUUGUUUUGUAUGUUCAGGCCUUCGCCAAUCAGUUCGUGAGGUUGGACCUCUCUAAUCCUAGCCGUGUUUUAGCUUGUACAGUCACUCAUCCUUCAUUGUUUGAGUGUAUCAAGGAUCGGCAUUAUGAUGAUCCUCAUUUGCUUGUCCUUAGGGACACAGUGCAGCACGGCAGUGCCAAGCAGGUUACAGCUGAAGAUGAUGGAGUUUUGAGGAGCAGGGUCAUGUUUGUAUGCCUAAUAUGGAUGGAGUUUGUGAGUUGAUUUUAGAGGAGGCCCAUAGUUUCCGUUAUUCUAUUCAUCUGGGUGCCGCUAAUAUGUAUCAGGAUUUGCGGAAACAUUACUGGUGGAGAAGAAUGAAGAAGAAUAUUGUGGCGUAUGUAGCUUGGUGUUUGAAUUGUCAGCGGGUAAAGAACGACGACCGGAGACCUGGUGGUUUGUUUCAGAAGAUUGAGAUUCCUAAGAAAAAGUGGGAGCGUAUUACCAUGGGCUUCGUUGUUGGACUCCCACAUACUCAGAAAAAGUUCGAUGCAGCAUGGGUUAUUAUUGAUAGGCUGACUAAGUCAGCACAUUUCAUUCAUGUAGCAUUUUCCUAAUCCUCGGAGCAGUUAGUUGAGAUCUAAAUCUGGGAGAUUGUUCGUAUUCAUGGUGUGCCCGUGUCUAUCAUUUUGGACUUUGAUAUGCAGUUUACCUUGCAUUUCUAGAGGUCAGUACAACAUGAGUUGCAUAUGCGGGUCGAGUUGAGUACAACAUUUCAUCCUCAGACGGACGGACAGUACGAGCGUACUAUUCAGAUUUUGGAGGAUAUGUCCCGAGCAUGUGUUAUUGACUUAGAGGUUCUUGGGAUCAGUUCUUUCCGUUAGCAGAGUUGGGAUGGUUUGAGUCGGGAGAGGCACAGUAGUUGGGUACAUAUUUGGUACAAGAUACCUAGAACAAGGUCAAGAUCAUUAGGAUAGACUUCGUACAACUCAGUUCAGGAAAAAGUGUUAUACCGACCGUAAGGUUCGUGAUGUGGCAUUCAUGGUCGGAGAGCGAGUGUCACUUCGGGUGUCACCCAUGAAGGGCGUGAUGAGAUUUGGGAAGAAAGGAAAGUUAAACCCUAGGUUCAUCGAGCCUUUUGAGAUUCUUGGUCAAGUGGGAGAGGUGGCUUACAAACUUGCGUUGCCACCAAGUUUGUCACCUAUGCAUGCAGUGUUUCAUGUGUCCAUGCUUUGAAAUUAUCAUGGCGAUCCAUCUCACGUGUUAGACUUCAGCACAGUCCAGUUGGACAUGGACUUGACCUAUGAGGAGGAGCCCGUAGCUAUUCUAGAUCGGCAGGUUUGUCAGUUGAGAUCGAAGAAUUUUCCUUUAGUUCGUGUGCAGUGGAGAGGUCAGCUUGUUGAGGUUGCUAUCCGGGAGUCCGAGUUUGAUAUGCGGAGCCGAUAUCCCCAUAUCUUUACACCAACUCAUGUACUUUUCUAUGUCAGUUCAAGGACGAAAGAUUAUUGUAGAGGUGGAGAAUGAGAUGAUCGAAAGGGGUCAUAUUUUGUUUUAGAACCUAAAUCCUAGUUUUGAGGCCUUAAAAACCUCAUUUUCUUUCCCAUUGUUUUGCAUGCAUAGUCCGGAUGCGUUUCCGGAAAGCGUUUAUGUGAAAUUUAAGAAAAAUAUGAAAUUUGUCCUUUAAAAUUGACUUCGGUCAAUAUUUUUGGUAAACAAACUUGGACCCAUAAUUUGACGGUCCGGUAGGGUCCGUAUUAUGAUAUGGGACUUGAGCGUAUGCCCCGAAUCAAAUUCCGAGGUCCCUAACCCGAGAAAUGAAUUUUUAAAGAAAAUUCUUUGCUGAAAUAUAUAGAGGCUUUCGGAAAUGAAAUAGUUUGUGAUCUAGAUGGUAUCAUCUCAUAUUUUGGUUCUAAACACAGUACAUGUCCAUUGUAAUAUUUAAACCUUAUCUGUAAAAUUAGGUGAGAAAUGGAAGCGGUUUGAUAUAAAUCAAACCCUUGAUUGAGAAAAAAGAAAAUUUGAACUAUCUUUAUGAAUUUCAUGAGUUUUGGUGUUAAAUGCUUUGUUUAAGAUGUUAUUUUGGUAAUUUGAUCGCACGAACAAGCCCGUAUGAUGUUUCUAGACUUAUAUGCAUGUUUGGGUUGGAGCCCUGAGGGAUGGGGUGAGUUUUGGAUAGACCACAGAGUGAGUUUGGAUUUUGACAAAUUUCUGUUGCAUAUGGUAUUUUGUUGCAGGCUAUGCUCUAGCAAUUGUGAGGUGAGGCUUCACAAUUGUGAGCUUCACAAUCUUGGCAAUUGCAAGGGCUCUAUCGCAAUUGCGAAGAAGCCUUGGCCAGUAUAGUUCACAUUUGCGGACAUUUCCUCUACAUUUGUGAAGUCAACAGGGAAGUCAACCUUCGCAAUUGCGACAAAUUGUUUGCAAUUGUGACAGAAGCGAAUCCUAUCUCACAAUUGUGGGCUUCGCAAUUGCAUAGCUCUUGUUGCAAAUGUGACAUCUGCAACUGAUCUAAACAUCACUUAGUCGGGAUUUUAACUUCAUUCUUUAAUAUAUCAAAACCCAAACCCGAAAGGGCGAUUUUCCUAGAGCAAGUUCUUCCCCAAAUCAUAGGUAAAGAAUCUUAACUCUUUUCCUUCAAUCUAUUUCAUCUUUUAACAUCAUUUCACUUCAAAAUCUAGUAUUUUUCAUGGGAAAUUGGGUGUUCUUAAGUAGAAAUUAGGAAUUUCAAAAAUUUGGGGAUUUGGACCUCAAAUUGAGGUCGGAUAUCAAAACCAAUUGCAUAUUUGGGUUCGUGUGUUAAAGGGUAAUCGGGGGCCCAGGGUCGGUUUUUUGAAUUUCUGGGGAAAACAUUUGGAAAAUCUGUACUCAUGAAUUAAAAUUGGUUUAUUUACAUUUAUUGAUGUUAUUAAAUAAAUUAUGACUAGAUUCAAGCGGAUUGGAAGUGGAGCCGAGAGGUAAAGCAGUAAUUGAG